CCAAUCGAACUCGGAGAUAGCUGGUUCUCCUCGAAAUAGCUUUAGGGCUAGCCUCAGAGAGAGAUACGCGGGGGUAGAGCACUGAAUGUUCUAGGGGCCUUCACCGGUUACCGAAAACUAUCAAACUCCGAAUACCGCAGUAUUAGCUCUGGGAGUCAGACUACGAGAGAUAAGUUCCGUGGUCAAAAGGGAAACAGCCCAGACCUACAGCUAAGGUCCCAAAAUGUAAGUUAAGUGGAAAAGGAUGUGGAGCUGCAUAGACAACUAGGAUGUUGGCUUAGAAGCAGCCACUCAUUUAAAGAGUGCGUAAUAGCUCACUAGUCGAGUGACUCUGCGCCGAAGAUAAACGGGGCUAAAACUUACUACCGAAGCUUAGGAUACAGUAAUGUAUGGUAGAGGAGCAUUGUAUACGGGCAGAAGCCUAACUGGAAGGGAAGGUGGACUGUAUACAAGAGAGAAUGUUGGCAUGAGUAGCGUAAGGCAGGUGAGAAUCCUGCCCGCCGAAAAUCUAAGGUUUCCUGAGGAAGGUUCGUCCACUCAGGGUUAGUCGGGUCCUAAGCCGAGGGCGAGCGCCGUAGGCGAUGGACAACAGGUUGAUAUUCCUGUACCACCGAAAGUCGUUUGAGCGAAGUGGGGACACAGAAGGAUAAGUUGAGCACGCCGCUGGUAGAGCGUGUCUAAGCGUCAAGGGAGAUGAUAAAGGCAAAUCCGUAUCAUCAAUUCUGAGGCGUUAUGGGGAGGCCGCAAGGCUGGAAGCAACUGAUUUCACACUGUCAAGAAAAGCCGCUAGCGAGACCGUAGGUGCCCGUACCGCAAACCGACACAGGUAGAUGAGGAGAGAAUCCUAAGGUGAGCGAGAGAACUAUUGUUAAGGAACUCGGCAAAAUAACCCCGUAACUUCGGGAGAAGGGGUGCCUACGAAAGUAGGCCGCAGUGAAAAGUCCCAGGCGACUGUUUACCAAAAACACAGGUCUCUGCUAAAGCGAAAGCUGAAGUAUAGGGGCUGACGCCUGCCCGGUGCUGGAAGGUUAAGGGGAAGUGUUAGAGUAAUCGAAGCACAGAACUUAAGCCCCAGUAAACGGCGGCCGUAACUAUAACGGUCCUAAGGUAGCGAAAUUCCUUGUCGGGUAAGUUCCGACCCGCACGAAAGGCGUAACGAUCUGGGCACUGUCUCAACGAGAGACUCGGUGAAAUUGAAUUGCCUGUGAAGAUGCAGGCUACCCGCGACAGGACGGAAAGACCCCAUGGAGCUUUACUGUAGCUUGAUAUUGAGUGCUUGUACUGCUUGUACAGGAUAGGUAGGAGCCAUAGAAGCCAGGACGCUAGUUUUGGCAGAGGCGUUGGUGGGAUACUACCCUUGCAUUAUGAUCACUCUAACCCGCACCACUGAUCGUGGUGGGAGACAGUGUCAGGUGGGCAGUUUGACUGGGGCGGUCGCCUCCCAAAAGAUAACGGAGGCGCCCAAAGGUUCGCUCAGAAUGGUUGGAAAUCAUUCGCAGAGUGUAAAGGCACAAGCGAGCUUGACUGCGAGACAGACAGGUCGAGCAGGGACGAAAGUCGGGCUUAGUGAUCCGGUGGUUCCGCAUGGAAGGGCCAUCGCUCAACGGAUAAAAGCUACCCUGGGGAUAACAGGCUUAUCUCCCCCAAGAGUUCACAUCGACGGGGAGGUU
This 1670-nucleotide ribosomal RNA is filed under the name human gut metagenome. Its description in RNAcentral is "bacterial LSU rRNA". It matches the Rfam family "Bacterial large subunit ribosomal RNA", at positions 829 to 2518 of the family's 2925-position model. The record is from RNAcentral.